This 464-nucleotide ribosomal RNA is filed under the name uncultured bacterium. Its description in RNAcentral is "bacterial SSU rRNA". It matches the Rfam family "Bacterial small subunit ribosomal RNA", at positions 199 to 644 of the family's 1533-position model. The record is from RNAcentral.
GGAGGAAGCAGGGGAUCGCAAGACCUUGCGCUUUUGGAGCGGCCGAUGUCUGAUUAGCUUGUUGGUAAGGUAAAAGCUUACCAAGGCUUCGAUCAGUAGCUGGUCUGAGAGGACGACCAGCCACGCUGGGACUGAGACACGGCCCAGACUCCUACGGGAGGCAGCAGUGGGGAAUUUUGGACAAUGGGGGCAACCCUGAUCCAGCCAUGCCGCGUGAGUGAAGAAGGCCUUCGGGUUGUAAAGCUCUUUCAGCCGGAACGAAACGGUUACGGUUAAUACCCGUGACUACUGACGGUACCGGAAGAAGAAGCACCGGCUAACUACGUGCCAGCAGCCGCGGUAAUACGUAGGGUGCGAGCGUUAAUCGGAAUUACUGGGCGUAAAGCGUGCGCAGGUGGUUUUGUAAGUCAGAUGUGAAAUCCCCGGGCUCAACCUGGGAACUGCGUUUGAAACUACAAAGCUAG